This 253-nucleotide ribosomal RNA is filed under the name uncultured bacterium. RNAcentral's name for it is "partial 16S ribosomal RNA". It matches the Rfam family "Bacterial small subunit ribosomal RNA", at positions 524 to 776 of the family's 1533-position model. The record is from RNAcentral.
UACAGAGGUCCCAAGCGUUGUUCGGAUUCACUGGGCGUAAAGGGUGCGUAGGUGGUGGGGUAAGUCGGAUGUGAAAUCUCCGAGCUCAACUCGGAAAUGGCAUUGGAAACUACCCUGCUUGAGGGUCGGAGGGGGGACUGGAAUGCUUGGUGUAGCAGUGAAAUGCGUAGAUAUCAAGCGGAACACCAGUGGCGAAGGCGAGUCCCUGGACGACUCCUGACACUGAGGCACGAAAGCUAGGGGAGCAAACAGG